AAAUUGAAGAGUUUGAUCAUGGCUCAGAUUGAACGCUGGCGGCAGGCCUAACACAUGCAAGUCGAACGGUAACAGGAAGCAGCUUGCUGCUUCGCUGACGAGUGGCGGACGGGUGAGUAAUGUCUGGGAAACUGCCUGAUGGAGGGGGAUAACUACUGGAAACGGUGGCUAAUACCGCAUAACGUCGCAAGACCAAAGAGGGGGACCUUCGGGCCUCUUGCCAUCAGAUGUGCCCAGAUGGGAUUAGCUAGUUGGUGAGGUAACGGCUCACCAAGGCGACGAUCCCUAGCUGGUCUGAGAGGAUGACCAGCCACACUGGAACUGAGACACGGUCCAGACUCCUACGGGAGGCAGCAGUGGGGAAUAUUGCACAAUGGGCGCAAGCCUGAUGCAGCCAUGCCGCGUGUAUGAAGAAGGCCUUCGGGUUGUAAAGUACUUUCAGCGGGGAGGAAGGUGUUGUGGUUAAUAACCGCAGCAAUUGACGUUACCCGCAGAAGAAGCACCGGCUAACUCCGUGCCAGCAGCCGCGGUAAUACGGAGGGUGCAAGCGUUAAUC
This 556-nucleotide ribosomal RNA is filed under the name Salmonella enterica. RNAcentral describes it as "bacterial SSU rRNA". It matches the Rfam family "Bacterial small subunit ribosomal RNA", at positions 1 to 546 of the family's 1533-position model. Lineage: Bacteria; Pseudomonadati; Pseudomonadota; Gammaproteobacteria; Enterobacterales; Enterobacteriaceae. The record is from RNAcentral. RNAcentral also lists the same sequence under 1 other name.